GGUUGGUGAGGAAGGGAUAGAGCAGGGAGAAGUUAUGGCGGGAGCUUCAGUGCAUAUGCAGCAUUUGAACAGCAGAGUCGGUGUUACUAUGGCCACCGCGACUACUCCUACAGACACCCAAAUCGGGACUCGGGUUCAACUCCCAGAGAAGACCCGCAAUUCUCGGGUGUUGGUGCUCGGCGGAACGGGUCGGGUCGGAGGCUCCACUGCCAUUGCUCUCUCCAAGCUAUGCCCCGACCUCCAAAUUGUCGUCGGCGGUCGAAACAGGGAAAAAGGUGUUAAUAUGGUAGCUACACUUGGGAGAAACUCAGAGUUCUCAGAAGUAGACAUUAACAAUGUAAAAUCAUUGGAAGCAGCUCUGAAAGAUGUAGAUCUCGUAGUUCAUGCUGCAGGGCCAUUUCAACAAGCAGAGAAGUGCACUGUAUUGGAAGCUGCCUUAGAGACAAAGACAGCCUACGUUGAUGUUUGUGAUGACACAGCCUAUUCACAACGUGCAAAAUCCUUCAAGAACAGCGCUAUAGCUGCAAAUAUUCCGGCUAUAACAACUGGUGGAAUUUAUCCAGGAGUGAGCAAUGUGAUGGCUGCAGAACUAGUUCGUGCAGCUAGAAGUGAAAGCAAAGGCACACCCGAAAGGCUAAGAUUCUAUUACUACACAGCAGGAACUGGCGGCGCUGGUCCAACUAUCUUAGCCACUAGCUUUUUGCUUCUGGGAGAGGAGGUUGUUGCAUUUAAUAAAGGAGAAAAGAUCAAACUAAAGCCAUAUAGUGGAAUGCUGGAGAUUGACUUUGGAAAAGGCAUUGGAAAGAAAGAUGUUUAUCUGUUGAAUCUACCGGAGGUAAGAAGUACUCAUGAGGUCCUAGGAGUACCUACUGUCAGUGCUCGAUUUGGAACUUCACCCUUCUUUUGGAAUUGGGGAAUGGCAAUCAUGACUAGUCUUCUUCCACCGGAGCUAUUGAGAGACAGAAGCAAAGUCCAACAGAUGGUUGAACUGUUUGACCCCGUUGUCCGACAAGUUGAUUCUUUUGCUGGGGAGCGUGUAUCAAUGAGGGUUGAUUUGGAGUGCUCUGAUGGGCGCAAUACAGUUGGUAUAUUCAGUCACAAGAGACUCUCUGUAUCUGUGGGAUAUGCAGCAGCUGCAUUUGUUAUGGCAAUUCUUGAGGGAAGCACAAAGCCUGGGGUUUGGUUUCCGGAGGAGAAUGAAGGCAUUGCAAUUGAGGCAAGGGAACUCCUCCUCGAACGUGCUGCGCAAGGAACAUUCAAUUUCGUAAUGAACAAGCCAUCAUGGAUGGUGGAAACAAACCCAAAAGAGUUAGGGUUGGGAAUAUACGUGUAAUACUCAAACGAAGUCAAACUAGUAGUUCAAAUUCUUCACCAUGUUGCCGAGUUGCGAGGCUUCCCCGUCUGGCAGGACAAAAGGGUCGUUAAAUUAAACAAAUUUUUGGAGAUAAGUAUGAAUAUUUUCCCCUACAUAUAUAGCAGUAAUCUUCAGUAAAGGAAACAAGUGAAAUAUAAUUUACAUCGUAUGUGUAUUAUACUUAUUUCAAUGUUGUGAAAUAAGCAGCUAGAACUCUAAUAAAUUGCACCGUUUGAAAAAUAAAACUUCCUUUCA
Molecule: RNA transcript, 1609 nt
Organism: Pyrus x bretschneideri (Chinese white pear)
Lineage: Eukaryota; Viridiplantae; Streptophyta; Magnoliopsida; Rosales; Rosaceae
Exons: 14
Source: RefSeq, a predicted model, not a curated record